RNAcentral lists this long non-coding RNA (210 nucleotides) under Vigna radiata. RNAcentral describes it as "long non-coding RNA (VRAD_LNC005574)". Lineage: Eukaryota; Viridiplantae; Streptophyta; Magnoliopsida; Fabales; Fabaceae. The record is from RNAcentral.
GGUGGGUGACUGUGAAGAAAAUGCUUUUGUCUUAGAAGAAAGAAGUGAAGGUGAUGAUGUUGUUGAAGGUGAAAUUGAAACACAUGUUGAGGUGGCUGAAUGUGAAGGAGAUGUUGGUGAUACACAAGAUAUGAGUGAUUAUUGUUGAUAAGGGGAGCAAUAUGAGUGUUGAAUGUGACACCUGGGCACUGACGAGGGCGGGGGUGAUCG